AAUUGAAAGAACCUCAUACAUGCUCAUCUGUGAAUAAAUGUGGCAACAAGAUGGCCACACAGUUUUGGAUACGUGACAGGGUGAUUAGUUGGCUAAGAAAAGAAGGUGACCUGUCAUCUAUUGAACUAAAAAGGAGAUUAUUGUAGUUCCAUCAUCUUGAGCUUCUAUAUCAUAGAGUUUGACGAGGAAAGGAGCUUGCAAUGUCCAUGAUUCAUGGGAAUUGGACAGAUUCUUUUGACAGAAUGAAAGAUUUCAAGAAGAAGUUUUUCAGAAGAAAUCCAGGUAGUAUAGUAAAGUUGCAAUUAGAUGUGGCAGGUGAUAGGUAUUACUUCCACUGCUUCUUUGUUACUCUAGGAGCUUGCAGUAUGGGCUUCUUAUCUGGUUGUAGACCUCUUAUAAGCCUAGAUGGCUGCCACUUAAAGGGAAAGUUUCGAGGUGUGAUGAUGGCUGCUACAGCAUUUGAUGGAAAUAAUGGUUUAUUUUCGAUUGUCUUUGGUAUAACAGAAUCUGAAAAUGGCAAUAGCUGGACUUGAUUUUUAGAGGCACUUAAAGAAGUAAUAGGAACUCCUGAAGGUUUAGUAAUUAUAUUUGAUCGACAAAAGAGACUAGAAGAAAUAGUACAAUAUAUAUAUCCUCAAACAGAACAUAAAAAAUGCAUGAGGCACCUGUACAAAAACUUUCAAACAAAGUUUUCAAGAGAUUGGUUAAAAUUAAGAUAUGGAAAGCUGCAAGGGUAUUCACAAAAGUUUAGCAUGAUGAUGUCAUGGAUCAAAUUAAAAAGGCUAGUUUGGAGGUAUUUAAGUAUCUGAUUACUGAAAAUAUUGGUUUGUGGAGUAGAUCUCAAUUUGGCAUCACAGCUAAGUGCUUCUACAUAACGAACAACUUUUUGGAGUCAUUCCAUGCUUGAAUUUCUGAGGCUAGACAUAGACCUGUUCUUGAUCUAUUAGAUGUUGUGAGGCAAAAAAUUAUGGUGAAGAUGGAAGCUAGAAGGCGAAUGGCUGCUCGCUGAAAGGAAAAUUUAGUUUUUUUGGUAAUAAAAUAUAUUAGAGAUAUCAGUCUUAAGUUAGAUGAUUAUAAUAUUUACAGAACCAGCGAUUAUAAAGCAGAAGUAAUGGAGACUAAUGGAAGAUAUGAAGUAAUUCUAAAUGAACGAAGAUGCUUUUGUCGUGUGUGGGACAUGUUAGGCAUUCCUUAUGUUCAUGCAGCUGCCUUUAUUUGUAGUAUAAGAGGUGCAAACUUAGAAAAUUAUGUUUUUGAAUACUUCACCAUUGCAAAGUAUAAAGCUAUUUAUGCAUUAGAAAUUGGACCAUUAUCUGACAAGGCCCAAUGGAUAAAAGCUGAUAUUGGAUACAAAGUGUUGCUUCCUAAGCUUAAUCUAAGACCCCCUGGAAGACCAAAGAAGAAGAGAAUUAGAGGUACAGAUGAGAAUGCAUUGAAGAGAAUGCACAAAUGCAAGCGUUGUGGUGAACUUGGGUAUCAUGCAAAGACUUGUAAAAAUCCAGUAGUGGAGGAAUCUCAAGCUUCAGUAUCAUCAUCUUCUGCACUAAAAAAACCUAGGAGGCCUAAAAGAAAUAGCUCAAGAGGAAGAAUGUCAACAACGAGAGGUACACAUGCAUUAUUUGUAGCACCAAGAGAGAAAAAAAAUAAAGGAAGACCCCGCAAGCAAGCUACAACGAUGGAAAUUUCAGAUGGAGAAGUAAUGCUUACC
Non-coding RNA from Elaeis guineensis (African oil palm), 1708 nucleotides. Lineage: Eukaryota; Viridiplantae; Streptophyta; Magnoliopsida; Arecales; Arecaceae. The record is from RefSeq and is a predicted model, not a curated record.